AGCGAACGUUAGCGGCACGCCUAACACAUGCAAGUCGCACGAGAAAGGGAGCAAUCCUGAGUAGAGUGGCGCACGGGUGCGUAACACGUAGAUAACCUGCCCUUUGGAGGGGGAUAACGUUCCGAAAGGAGCGCUAAUACCGCAUAACGCUGCGAGGGGUUUGCCUCUUGCAGACAAAGGUAGGGACCCGCAAGGGCCUAUCGCCAGAGGAGGGGUCUGCGGCCCAUCAGCUAGUUGGUGAGGUAAUGGCUCACCAAGGCAGAGACGGGUAGCUGGUCUGAGAGGAUGAUCAGCCACACUGGUACUGGAACACGGACCAGACUCCUACGGGUGGCAG
RNAcentral lists this ribosomal RNA (337 nucleotides) under uncultured Pseudomonadota bacterium. RNAcentral describes it as "bacterial SSU rRNA". It matches the Rfam family "Bacterial small subunit ribosomal RNA", at positions 29 to 351 of the family's 1533-position model. The record is from RNAcentral. Lineage: Bacteria; Pseudomonadati; Pseudomonadota.